This is a long non-coding RNA of Dreissena polymorpha, 1445 nucleotides long. RefSeq lists it as uncharacterized. The record is from RefSeq and is a predicted model, not a curated record. NCBI's taxonomy places the organism in Eukaryota, Metazoa, Mollusca, Bivalvia, Myida, Dreissenidae. The transcript is spliced from 8 exons.
GCUCUGCCUGAACUGCUGUCCAAUUGGUUUACAAGUCCGGCUGAAGUGACAGGCCAUCAAAAACUGCACAGUAUGACUGAUUCGGAGACGGCCCUCAACACUCGCCCAGUCGUGUCGAGAGGAUCGGUGUCUUUGCAGAUUACACGGAAUUGAGCACCCGGGCCAGACUGACACUUUCCGGAGCCUGUCCGAGACGGAACUCGAGCCGAGGAAUCAUAGGUCCAGGUGGUGUCGGAAUUAGUCUAUAGCUCUGCCUGAACUGCUGUCCAAUUGGUUUACAAGUCCGGCUGAAGUGACAGGCCAUCAAAAACUGCACAGUAUGACUGAUUCGGAGACGGCCCUCAACACUCGCCCAGUCGUGUCGAGAGGAUCGGUGUCUUUGCAGAUUACACGGAAUUGAGCACCCGGGCCAGACUGACACUUUCCGGAGCCUGUCCGAGACGGAACUCGAGCCGAGGAAUCAUAGGUCCAGGUGGUGUCGGAAUUAGUCUAUAGCUCUGCCUGAACUGCUGUCCAAUUGGUUUACAAGUCCGGCUGAAGUGACAGGCCAUCAAAAACUGCACAGUAUGACUGAUUCGGAGACGGCCCUCAACACUCGCCCAGUCGUGUCGAGAGGAUCGGUGUCUUUGCAGAUUACACGGAAUUGAGCACCCGGGCCAGACUGACACUUUCCGGAGCCUGUCCGAGACGGAACUCGAGCCGAGGAAUCAUAGGUCCAGGUGUGACAGAAAACUUAAAGCUCAUGUCUGACGAUGACUUUUUUUGCGUCAGGAAGUAAAGUGGUGUCGGAAUUAGUCUAUAGCUCUGCCUGAACUGCUGUCCAAUUGGUUUACAAGUCCGGCUGAAGUGACAGGCCAUCAAAAACUGCACAGUAUGACUGAUUCGGAGACGGCCCUCAACACUCGCCCAGUCGUGUCGAGAGGAUCGGUGUCUUUGCAGAUUACACGGAAUUGAGCACCCGGGCCAGACUGACACUUUCCGGAGCCUGUCCGAGACGGAACUCGAGCCGAGGAAUCAUAGGUCCAGGUGUGACAGAAAACUUAAAGCUCAUGUCUGACGAUGACUUUUUUUGCGUCAGGAAGUAAAGUGUGUUGUUUUCCCAUGCGAGCAAGCCCUUUUGUUGGGUCAAAUGACAUCAGAAAUGCUGCUUCUACAUGGAUUUUACCUAAAAUGUGCCAAAAAAUAUAUAAAAAGUUUGUUCGGAUCUUGUUCAAAACCUGCUAUGAUGCACAUAUAAUGCCAUUGAUGAUUUGUUUUCACUUAUUAAGUCAUAUGUUACAUCUGCUAUGCUAUUAGAAUCGAAAGUGAUGCCUUGUAUGGAGUCUAAGUGCUGUCUGUAUGAUGUAACCAAGGUCGGCUUUUCUACCUUAAUUCUUGACGCGAAACGCUGUUACGCGUGACGCUUUCAACGUCAACUUUAAUGAAUAAAUCUGUGUGUCAUGGUA